UCCAGCAUGAUUUUUAAGCCAUAUUUUAUAUAUUCACCAACAUAAUAUUAAUUAUAAUUACAUAUUCAGAACCGGGCGUGUUUUGCCGCCACACGCCGCCGCACGGUGGCGCCAGCGAGCAAUUCCGAGAUAAUCUCUACAUUUAAAGCCGUGGCCUUUGAAAGAGGGAAGUGGGUGCUCUUGAAAAAAGGAAAAGGAACCCCGAGUGCUUUAAUCAGUUCAUGGCGCAUGCAGUGAUCCGUGACGUCACGGAUGAGGCACUCAGUUCCAGUGGGCGCGCAGCCGGCUCUACGCUCAUUUGCAUAAAGCUAUUGUGACAUUCAUAAUGAAAGAUGGCAUGGCGCGGUUCGCGGCCCGUUGGCGGAACUGUGACUAAGUCGUUAGCGGUUUGCGAUCAGACCUGG
Papilio polytes (common Mormon) is the source of this 404-nucleotide long non-coding RNA. RefSeq lists it as uncharacterized. NCBI's taxonomy places the organism in Eukaryota, Metazoa, Arthropoda, Insecta, Lepidoptera, Papilionidae. The record is from RefSeq and is a predicted model, not a curated record. The transcript is spliced from 3 exons.